This 1400-nucleotide long non-coding RNA is filed under the name Homo sapiens (human). RNAcentral's name for it is "HSALNT0352851". The record is from RNAcentral. Lineage: Eukaryota; Metazoa; Chordata; Mammalia; Primates; Hominidae.
CCGAGGGUGCACCAGCACCUCCUUCCACUACCGGCCCUUUAUCUGACAAAAGAGCCGGAGCCCAUGACUCUCCGACUGUGAGCAGUGUGGCCUUUCCAAGCCUCCAGAACUUUCUCAUUACAACUUUUCCGGGGUCGCACUACUCCCUGGGCCGCGCGGGCUCGGGCACGAGGACCUGGCCAGGGCGCAGCGCCGGCACGAAGGCGCGCGCCGCAGAACUGUUUCCUCAGCCGCGUGCCGGGGAACUAACUGUUUCCUCAGCCGCGUCCAGCCUCGCAGCACUGCUCUUCUGCUUGCUACUCCAGCGAAGGGACAUGCCUGCUGGCCAGGACGCUUAGUGGGCCUCGUAACCUGGCGAGUGUGUGCCCGCGCGUGUCCACCCUGCCCCCGGCCGGUGCGCCCCGCGCGCCCAAACCCGGCCGGCGACCACUGCGCGCCGGGCGCUUCCAAACUGCUCCUGUCCAGAGGCAUCCCUCUUUCGGCUUUCUCCAUCCCGCGUCCGCUUCCGCACCCGAGAGCGACAAGCAAAAAAGAUUCAGUGCAACUCAAGGACUGGUUUGUUAUACUCAAAAUGUACCAGGAACAGGAACAAAAGUAUUUUAUAAAAUAAUUAAUUUUUAUGGGCUAUGAGUCCCAAAUGGUUAUGUAAUCAAAGUGGAAGCAGAAAAGCAUGGCUUAGAAAAUAAUUGGUCAUGUCAUGUCACGCUUAACACAUGUGCAGACUCUGCCCUCCAGGUUGCAGUGCGAUGGUGUGAUCAAUGCUCAUAGUAGCUUCAAACUCCCAGGAUCAAGUGAUCCUCCUAAAUAAACCUCCUGAGUAGCUGGGACUACAGCUUCCACCAUGGGAUGAUACAGCAUGAAGGCCCUCACCAGAUAUGCACCCCUUGAUUUUGGACUUCCCAGACUCCAGAACUAUCUCUGUGGUUACUCUGUGAAUUGGUCUGUACAGGCCCACUUGAGUACAGAUGAGCCAUUUCAGCUAAGCCUACAAGACACUUCCAGCUAAACCUAGCCCAAAUUGCCAACUUGCAGAAUUAAUCUGGGCUAUCCCUGUGACUUGCUUUGACUAACGGAAUGUGACAGAAUGACGUUGUGCAACAUCCAAAUCAGGACUUAAGAAACUGUAGGCAGCCAUCAUGCUGUGAACGCAAGCUGUGUGGAGAGACUAAGUGGAGGUGAAUGGAGUCAGUUCAGUCAACAGCCCUACCUGAUAUUUCAGUCCAUAACUAGCCCUGUGUGUCAGCCCUGUGAACAGGUCGUCUUGGACUUUUCACCCCAGUUGAGAAUAAUGACUACAUCCUCAGCUGAUAGCACAUGGAACAGAGGAACUACCUAGCUUAGCUGGGCCCAUAUUGCAGAAUUGUGAGAGAUCAUGAAAAGUUGUGUUUUUUUUAUAACUA